UUUGAUGAUUCCCCCAUAGAACGGUAAGUGUGGGUGCCUCUCACAAUGGAAUUUGGGUUGUGAGUUUCAGAAGGGACAUCUUUUUUCAAGUAAGAAGGCCUAGUUGGGCCGUGUCUUAUUAAAGCAAAAACAACAAUAUUUAAACGACCUGGUCCAAAAGUGGUCAAGGCCCAUAAAAACCACAAUGAAGACAAAACCAUAACUAAUGAAUCUAAAAAGGGGAGUUUAGAAGGCAAAAUGAAUUAAGUGAAAGUGGAAGUGGUCCAAGAGAUGCUGAUUAGAGAUCACCACCUAUUCGGGGAGCUGUGAAAACGGUGGAGGGAAACUUUGAUGUUCUCUAACUCCUCGGAAAUAAAUUAAACUUCUUCAAGGUAUCUAUCGAUCCUCAAGAAAUCCUCCAUUCUAGAGAUGUCUCCAAGCUCUCACCAGACGCAUCAAAAUUUGCUACCAAAUGAAGAAACUUCAAGGUUAACUCAUAAACUUCAUCCAUUUGUGGUAUUGAGUGAGUAGCUAAACAUUGAUUGCGGCUCCCAAUGUCAGAUUUUCCAGAGAUGAGGUAGCGACAGUCAGAUCUCAAAGCGUACCCAGAUUUUCUCUUUUUAUCAUUUGCUUAUUUGCAUUGGAG
This is a long non-coding RNA of Capsicum annuum, 625 nucleotides long. RefSeq lists it as uncharacterized. The record is from RefSeq and is a predicted model, not a curated record. NCBI's taxonomy places the organism in Eukaryota, Viridiplantae, Streptophyta, Magnoliopsida, Solanales, Solanaceae. The transcript has 3 exons.